Molecule: ribosomal RNA, 896 nt
Filed under: uncultured bacterium
Lineage: Bacteria
Description: bacterial SSU rRNA
Rfam family: Bacterial small subunit ribosomal RNA
Source: RNAcentral
AGAGUUUGAUCCUGGCUCAGGACGAACGCUGGCGGCGUGCUUAACACAUGCAAGUCGAGCGGGGAGGGCUCUUCGGGGGUACCCAAGCGGCAAACGGGUGAGUAACACGGGGGUGACCGGCCCUCAGCUCUGGGAUAAGCCUGGAAAACUGGGUCUAAUACCGGAUAUAACCUUUCCUCAAAUGGGGUUUGGUGGAAAGUUUUUUCGGCUGGGGAUGGGCCCGCGGCCUAUCAGCUUGUUGGUGGGGUGAUGGCCUACCAACGAUACGACGGGUAGCCGGCCUGAUAAGGCGACCGGCUGCACUGGAACUGAGACCCGGACUCCACUCCUACGGGAGGCAGCGGAGUUUAAUAUUGCGCAAUGAGCGGAAACCUGACGCAGCCACGCCGAGUGGGGGAUGACGGCCAUCGGGUUGUAAACCUCUUUCGACCCCGACGAAUUUGGACGGUAGGGGUAGAAGAAGAUUCGGCCAACUACGUGCCACCCGCCUAACUAACUCCCAGGGUGCGAGCGUUGUCCGGAAUUAUUGGGCGUAUUGAGAUCUAUUGGGGUGUGUCGCGUCGGCCGUGAAAUCUUGAGGGCUUAGCUCUGAGCUUGCGGUCUAUACGAGCAUCUCUGUGUCUCACUGUGAGGCACUGGACUUCCUGGUGUAACGGGAAAUAUGAGUGAUAUCGGGAGGAACACCGAUGGGGGAAGGCAGGUCUCUGGGCCGAUACUGACGCUGAGGAGCGACUGACUGGGGAGCGAACAAGAUUAGAUACCCUGCUAGUCCACGCCCCAUGGGUUGGGCCCUCGGUGUGGGGGGCCAUUCCAGGGUCUCUGUGCUGCACCUCUCGUAUUAAGCACCCCACCUGGUAAGUACUGCCGCCAGGGCUAAACCUCAAAGGAACUGACGC